Molecule: ribosomal RNA, 250 nt
Filed under: uncultured bacterium
Lineage: Bacteria
Description: partial 16S ribosomal RNA
Rfam family: Bacterial small subunit ribosomal RNA
Source: RNAcentral
UAAGGAAUAUUGGACAAUGGGCGGAAGCCUGAUCCAGCCAUGCCGCGUGCAGGACGAAGGCGCUCAGCGUUGUAAACUGCUUUUGGACGGGGACAAUAAUCUCGACUUGUCGGGACUUGAGGGUACCGUCAGAAUAAGCACCGGCUAACUCCGUGCCAGCAGCCGCGGUAAUACGGAGGGUGCGAGCGUUAUCCGGAAUCACUGGGUUUAAAGGGUGCGUAGGCGGCCUGUUAAGUCAGUUGUGAAAUGC